GACGAACGCUGGCGGCGUGCUUAACACAUGCAAGUGGAGCGACGAACCAGGGCUUGCCCUGGGGCAGAGCCGCGAACGGGUGAGUAACACGUGGGUUACCUGCCCCGAUGACCGGGACAACCCGAGGAAACUCGGGCUAAUACCGGAUGUGGUCUACGGACGAAAGGAAGCUUCGGCCUCCGCAUCGGGAUGGGCCCGCGGCGCAUUAGCUUGUUGGUGGGGUAACGGCCUACCAAGGCGACGAUGCGAGCUGGUCUGAGAGGACGAUCAGCCACACUGGGACUGAGACACGGCCCAGACUCCUACGGGAGGCAGCAGUGGGGAAUCUUGCGCAAUGCGCGAAAGCGUGACGCAGCAACGCCGCGUGAGGGAAGACGGCCU
Molecule: ribosomal RNA, 381 nt
Filed under: uncultured bacterium
Lineage: Bacteria
Description: bacterial SSU rRNA
Rfam family: Bacterial small subunit ribosomal RNA
Source: RNAcentral